GACGAACGCUGGCGGCGUGCCUAAUACAUGCAAGUCGAGCGGACCGGAUUGGGGCUUGCCUUGAUUCGGUCAGCGGCGGACGAGUGAGUAACACGUGGGCAACCUGCCCGCAAGACCGGGAUAACUCCGGGAAAGCGGAGCUAAUACCGGAUAACACCGAAGACCGCAUGGUCUUCGGUUGAAAGGCGGCCUUUGGGCUGUCACUUGCGGAUGGGCCCGCGGCGCAUUAGCUAGUUGGUGAGGUAACGGCUCACCAAGGCGACGGUGCGUAGCCGGCCUGAGAGGGUGACCGGCCACACUGGGACUGAGACACGGCCCAGACUCCUACGGGAGGCAGCAGUAGGGAAUCUUCCGCAAUGGGCGAAAGCCUGACGGAGCGACGCCGCGUGAGCGAAGAAGGCCUUCGGGUCGUAAAGCUCUGUUGUGAGGGACGAAGGAGCGCCGUUCGAAGAGGGCGGCGCGGUGACGGUACCUCACGAGAAAGCCCCGGCUAACUACGUGCCAGCCGCCGCGGUAA
RNAcentral lists this ribosomal RNA (517 nucleotides) under uncultured bacterium. RNAcentral describes it as "partial 16S ribosomal RNA". It matches the Rfam family "Bacterial small subunit ribosomal RNA", at positions 28 to 523 of the family's 1533-position model. The record is from RNAcentral.